RNAcentral lists this ribosomal RNA (449 nucleotides) under uncultured bacterium. Its description in RNAcentral is "partial 16S ribosomal RNA". It matches the Rfam family "Bacterial small subunit ribosomal RNA", at positions 30 to 523 of the family's 1533-position model. The record is from RNAcentral.
AUUGAACGCUGGCGGCACGCCUAACACAUGCGAGUCGAACGAGACCUUCGGGUCUAGUGGCGCACGGGUGCGUAACGCGUGGGAAUCUGCCCUUUGGUUCGGAAUAACAGUUGGAAACGACUGCUAAUACCGGAUGAUGACGAAAGUCCAAAGAUUUAUCGCCAGAGGAUGAGCCCGCGUAGGAUUAGCUAGUUGGUGUGGUAAAGGCGCACCAAGGCGACGAUCCUUAGCUGGUCUGAGAGGAUGAUCAGCCACACUGGGACUGAGACACGGCCCAGACUCCUACGGGAGGCAGCAGUGGGGAAUAUUGGACAAUGGGCGAAAGCCUGAUCCAGCAAUGCCGCGUGAGUGAUGAAGGCCUUAGGGUUGUAAAGCUCUUUUACCCGGGAUGAUAAUGACAGUACCGGGAGAAUAAGCUCCGGCUAACUCCGUGCCAGCCGCCGCCGUAA